RNAcentral lists this ribosomal RNA (650 nucleotides) under uncultured bacterium. RNAcentral describes it as "bacterial SSU rRNA". It matches the Rfam family "Bacterial small subunit ribosomal RNA", at positions 124 to 775 of the family's 1533-position model. The record is from RNAcentral.
ACAUGCCUUGAGGUGGGGGACAACAGUUGGAAACGACUGCUAAUACCGCAUAAUGUCUACGGACCAAAGGGGGCUUCGGCUCUCGCCUUUAGAUUGGCCCAAGUGGGAUUAGCUAGUUGGUGAGGUAAUGGCUCACCAAGGCGACGAUCCCUAGCUGGUUUGAGAGGAUGAUCAGCCACACUGGGACUGAGACACGGCCCAGACUCCUACGGGAGGCAGCAGUGGGGAAUAUUGCACAAUGGGCGAAAGCCUGAUGCAGCCAUGCCGCGUGUGUGAAGAAGGCCUUCGGGUUGUAAAGCACUUUCAGUCGUGAGGAAAGGUGUUCGUUCAAUAAACGGAUACUGUGACGUUAGCGACAGAAGAAGGACCGGCUAACUCCGUGCCAGCAGCCGCGGUAAUACGGAGGGUCCGAGCGUUAAUCGGAAUUACUGGGCGUAAAGCGUGCGUAGGCGGUUGAUUAAGUCAGAUGUGAAAUCCCGGGGCUCAACCUCGGAACUGCAUUUGAAACUGGUCAACUAGAGUAUUGUAGAGGGUGGUGGAAUUUCCAGUGUAGCGGUGAAAUGCGUAGAGAUUGGAAGGAACAUCAGUGGCGAAGGCGGCCACCUGGACAAAUACUGACGCUGAGGCACGAAAGCGUGGGGAGCGAACAG